Molecule: ribosomal RNA, 741 nt
Filed under: uncultured archaeon
Lineage: Archaea
Description: bacterial SSU rRNA
Rfam family: Archaeal small subunit ribosomal RNA
Source: RNAcentral
GCUAGUUGAACGACCCCGGACUAUGGCGGGGAAGUGGCACACUGCUCAGUAACACGUAGCUAACCUAACCUCGGGACGGGCACAACCCCGGGAAACUGGGGCUAAUUCCCGAUAGGCGUGGAAUCCCGGAAUGGAUCUACGCCCAAAGGUCAGCGCGCCCAUGUUGUGCGCGCACGCCCGAGGAUGGGGCUGCGGCCGAUCAGGCUGUUGGCGAGGUAAAGGCUCACCAAACCUUUGACCGGUACGGGCCAUGAGAGUGGUAGCCCGGAGAUGGGCACUGAGACAAGGGCCCAGGCCCUACGGGGCGCAGCAGGGGCGAAACCUCCACAAUUCACGAAAGUGAGAUGGGGUUACCUCGAGUGCCAUCUGAGGAAGGUGGCUUUUCCAUGGUGUAAUGAGCCGUGGGAAUAAGGGGGGGGCAAGACUGGUGUCAGCCGCCGCGGUAACACCAGCCCCCCGAGUGGUGGGGAUGUUUAUUUGGCCUAAAGCGUCCGUAGCCGGCCCGGUAAAUCUCUCGUUAAAUCCAGCGUCCUAAGCGUUGGGCUGCGAGGGAAACUGCCAGGCUAGAGGGUGGGAGAGGUCAGCGGUAUUUCUGGGGUAGGGGCGAAAUCCAUUGAUCCCAGGAGGACCACCAGUGGCGAAGGCUGCUGACUAGAACACGCCUGACGGUCAGGGACGAAAGCUGGGGUAGCGAAUCGGAUUAGAUACCCGAGUAGUCCCAGCCGUAAACGAUGCAGGCUA